AUGGGAAUUGGGACCCGGGCCCCAAAUUCCUUACGGGGAGGCAGCCGGUAGGGAAUUUUUCCACAAUGGGAGGCAAGUCUGAUGGAGCAACCCCCGCCUGAGUGAAGAAAGGGUUUCGGCUUCGUAAAACUUCUGUUGUUAAAGAAGGAACAAGUAUGAGAGUAACUGUUCAUGCGUUGACGGUAUUUAACCAGAAAGUCACGGCUAACUACGUGCCAGCAGCCGCGGUAAUACGUAGGUGGCAAGCGUUAUCCGGAUUUAUUGGGCGUAAAGAGAGUGCAGGCGGUUUUUUAAGUCUGAUGUGAAAGCCUUCGGCUUAACCGAAGAAGUGCAUCGGAAACUGGAUAACUUGAGUGCAGAAGAGGGUAGUGGAACUCCAUGUGUAGCGGUGGAAUGCGUAGAUAUAUGGAAGAACACCAGUGGCGAAGGCGGCUACCUGGUCUGCAACUGACGCUGAGACUCGAAAGCAUGGGUAGCGAACAGGAUUAGAUACCCUGGUAGUCCAUGCCGUAAACGAUGAGUGCUAGGUGUUGGAGGGUUUCCGCCCUUCAGUGCUGGAGCUAACGCAUUAAGCACUCCGCCUGGGGAGUACGACCGCAAGGUUGAAACUCAAAGGAAUUGACGGGGGCCCGCACAAGCGGUGGAGCAUGUGGUUUAAUUCGAAGCUACGCGAAGAACCUUACCAGGUCUUGACAUCUUGCGCCAACCUUAGAGAUAGGGCGUUUCCUUCGGGAACGCAAUGACAGGUGGUGCAUGGUCGUCGUCAGCUCGUGUCGUGAGAUGUUGGGUUAAGUCCCGCAACGAGCGCAACCCUUGUUAUUAGUUGCCAGCAUUAAGUUGGGCACUCUAGUGAGACUGCCGGUGACAAACCGGAGGAAGGUGGGGACGACGUCAGAUCAUCAUGCCCCUUAUGACCUGGGCUACACACGUGCUACAAUGGACGGUACAACGAGUCGCGAACUCGCGAGGGCAAGCAAAUCUCUUAAAGCCGUUCUCAGUUCGGACUGCAGGCUGCAACUCGCCUGCACGAAGUCGGAAUCGCUAGUAAUCGCGGAUCAGCAUGCCGCGGUGAAUACGUUCCCGGGCCUUGUACACACCGCCCGUCACACCAUGAGAGUUUGUAACACCCAAAGUCGG
This 1137-nucleotide ribosomal RNA is filed under the name Lactobacillus sp. RNAcentral describes it as "bacterial SSU rRNA". It matches the Rfam family "Bacterial small subunit ribosomal RNA", at positions 312 to 1430 of the family's 1533-position model. The record is from RNAcentral. Lineage: Bacteria; Bacillati; Bacillota; Bacilli; Lactobacillales; Lactobacillaceae.